GCAGCCGCGGUAAUACGUAGGUUGCAAGCGUUGUCCGGAAUUACUGGGUGUAAAGGGCGUGUAGGCGGAGAUGCAAGUUGGGAGUGAAAUCCAUGGGCUCAACCCAUGAACUGCUUUCAAAACUGCAUCCCUUGAGUAUCGGAGAGGCAAGCGGAAUUCCUAGUGUAGCGGUGAAAUGCGUAGAUAUUAGGAGGAACACCAGUGGCGAAGGCGGCUUGCUGGACGACAACUGACGCUGAGGCGCGAAAGCGUGGGGAGCAAACAGGAUUAGAUACCCC
RNAcentral lists this ribosomal RNA (278 nucleotides) under uncultured Oscillospiraceae bacterium. RNAcentral's name for it is "partial 16S ribosomal RNA". It matches the Rfam family "Bacterial small subunit ribosomal RNA", at positions 511 to 788 of the family's 1533-position model. Lineage: Bacteria; Bacillati; Bacillota; Clostridia; Eubacteriales; Oscillospiraceae. The record is from RNAcentral.